UUAAGCGACUAAGCGUACACGGUGGAUGCCCUGGCAGUCAGAGGCGAUGAAGGACGUGCUAAUCUGCGAUAAGCGUCGGUGAGGUGAUAUGAACCGUUAUAACCGGCGAUUUCCGAAUGGGGAAACCCAGUGUGUUUCGACACACUAUCAUUAACUGAAUCCAUAGGUUAAUGAGGCGAACCGGGGGAACUGAAACAUCUAAGUACCCCGAGGAAAAGAAAUCAACCGAGAUUCCCACAGUAGCGGCGAGCGAACGGGGAGGAGCCCAGAGCCUGAAUCAGUGUGUGUGUUAGUGGAAGCGUCUGGAAAGGCGUGCGAUACAGGGUGACAGCCCCGUACACAAAAAUGCACAUAUUGUGAGCUCGAUGAGUAGGGCGGGACACGUGGUAUCCUGUCUGAAUAUGGGGGGACCAUCCUCCAAGGCUAAAUACUCCUGACUGACCGAUAGUGAACCAGUACCGUGAGGGAAAGGCGAAAAGAACCCCGGCGAGGGGAGUGAAAAAGAACCUGAAACCGUGUACGUACAAGCAGUGGGAGCCUCUUAAUGGGGUGACUGCGUACCUUUUGUAUAAUGGGUCAGCGACUUAUAUUCUGUAGCAAGGUUAACCGAAUAGGGGAGCCGAAGGGAAACCGAGUCUUAACUGGGCGUUAAGUUGCAGGGUAUAGACCCGAAACCCGGUGAUCUAGCCAUGGGCAGGUUGAAGGUUGGGUAACACUAACUGGAGGACCGAACCGACUAAUGUUGAAAAAUUAGCGGAUGACUUGUGGCUGGGGGUGAAAGGCCAAUCAAACCGGGAGAUAGCUGGUUCUCCCCGAAAGCUAUUUAGGUAGCGCCUCGUGAAUUCAUCUCCGGGGGUAGAGCACUGUUUCGGCAAGGGGGUCAUCCCGACUUACCAACCCGAUGCAAACUGCGAAUACCGGAGAAUGUUAUCACGGGAGACACACGGCGGGUGCUAACGUCCGUCGUGAAGAGGGAAACAACCCAGACCGCCAGCUAAGGUCCCAAAGUCAUGGUUAAGUGGGAAACGAUGUGGGAAGGCCCAGACAGCCAGGAUGUUGGCUUAGAAGCAGCCAUCAUUUAAAGAAAGCGUAAUAGCUCACUGGUCGAGUCGGCCUGCGCGGAAGAUGUAACGGGGCUAAACCAUGCACCGAAGCUGCGGCAGCGACACUAUGUGUUGUUGGGUAGGGGAGCGUUCUGUAAGCCUGUGAAGGUGGCCUGUGAGGGUUGCUGGAGGUAUCAGAAGUGCGAAUGCUGACAUAAGUAACGAUAAAGCGGGUGAAAAGCCCGCUCGCCGGAAGACCAAGGGUUCCUGUCCAACGUUAAUCGGGGCAGGGUGAGUCGACCCCUAAGGCGAGGCCGAAAGGCGUAGUCGAUGGGAAACAGGUUAAUAUUCCUGUACUUGGUGUUACUGCGAAGGGGGGACGGAGAAGGCUAUGUUGGCCGGGCGACGGUUGUCCCGGUUUAAGCGUGUAGGCUGGUUUUCCAGGCAAAUCCGGAAAACCAAGGCUGAGGCGUGAUGACGAGGCACUACGGUGCUGAAGCGACAAAUGCCCUGCUUCCAGGAAAAGCCUCUAAGCAUCAGGUAACAUCAAAUCGUACCCCAAACCGACACAGGUGGUCAGGUAGAGAAUACCAAGGCGCUUGAGAGAACUCGGGUGAAGGAACUAGGCAAAAUGGUGCCGUAACUUCGGGAGAAGGCACGCUGAUAUGUAGGUGAAGCGACUUGCUCGUGGAGCUGAAAUCAGUCGAAGAUACCAGCUGGCUGCAACUGUUUAUUAAAAACACAGCACUGUGCAAACACGAAAGUGGACGUAUACGGUGUGACGCCUGCCCGGUGCCGGAAGGUUAAUUGAUGGGGUUAGCGGCAACGCGAAGCUCUUGAUCGAAGCCCCGGUAAACGGCGGCCGUAACUAUAACGGUCCUAAGGUAGCGAAAUUCCUUGUCGGGUAAGUUCCGACCUGCACGAAUGGCGUAAUGAUGGCCAGGCUGUCUCCACCCGAGACUCAGUGAAAUUGAACUCGCUGUGAAGAUGCAGUGUACCCGCGGCAAGACGGAAAGACCCCGUGAACCUUUACUAUAGCUUGACACUGAACAUUGAGCCUUGAUGUGUAGGAUAGGUGGGAGGCUUUGAAGUGUGGACGCCAGUCUGCAUGGAGCCGACCUUGAAAUACCACCCUUUAAUGUUUGAUGUUCUAACGUUGGCCCGUAAUCCGGGUUGCGGACAGUGUCUGGUGGGUAGUUUGACUGGGGCGGUCUCCUCCUAAAGAGUAACGGAGGAGCACGAAGGUUGGCUAAUCCUGGUCGGACAUCAGGAGGUUAGUGCAAUGGCAUAAGCCAGCUUGACUGCGAGCGUGACGGCGCGAGCAGGUGCGAAAGCAGGUCAUAGUGAUCCGGUGGUUCUGAAUGGAAGGGCCAUCGCUCAACGGAUAAAAGGUACUCCGGGGAUAACAGGCUGAUACCGCCCAAGAGUUCAUAUCGACGGCGGUGUUUGGCACCUCGAUGUCGGCUCAUCACAUCCUGGGGCUGAAGUAGGUCCCAAGGGUAUGGCUGUUCGCCAUUUAAAGUGGUACGCGAGCUGGGUUUAGAACGUCGUGAGACAGUUCGGUCCCUAUCUGCCGUGGGCGCUGGAGAACUGAGGGGGGCUGCUCCUAGUACGAGAGGACCGGAGUGGACGCAUCACUGGUGUUCGGGUUGUCAUGCCAAUGGCACUGCCCGGUAGCUAAAUGCGGAAGAGAUAAGUGCUGAAAGCAUCUAAGCACGAAACUUGCCCCGAGAUGAGUUCUCCCUGACUCCUUGAGAGUCCUGAAGGAACGUUGAAGACGACGACGUUGAUAGGCCGGGUGUGUAAGCGCAGCGAUGCGUUGAGCUAACCGGUACUAAUGAACCGUGAGGCUUAACCUU
RNAcentral lists this ribosomal RNA (2902 nucleotides) under Escherichia coli UMEA 4207-1. Its description in RNAcentral is "bacterial LSU rRNA". It matches the Rfam family "Bacterial large subunit ribosomal RNA". Lineage: Bacteria; Pseudomonadati; Pseudomonadota; Gammaproteobacteria; Enterobacterales; Enterobacteriaceae. The record is from RNAcentral.